UUGAGUUUGAUCGUGGCUCAGGAUGAGCGCUGGCGGCGUGCCUAAUACAUGCAAGUCGAGCGAACAGACGAGGAGCUUGCUCCUUUGACGUUAGCGGCGGACGGGUGAGUAACACGUAGGUAACCUACCUAUAAGACUGGGAUAACUUCGGGAAACCGGAGCUAAUACCGGAUAAUAUUUCGAACCGCAUGGUUCGAUAGUGAAAGAUGGCUUUGCUAUCACUUAUAGAUGGACCUGCGCCGUAUUAGCUAGUUGGUAAGGUAACGGCUUACCAAGGCAACGAUACGUAGCCGACCUGAGAGGGUGAUCGGCCACACUGGAACUGAGACACGGUCCAGACUCCUACGGGAGGCAGCAGUAGGGAAUCUUCCGCAAUGGGCGAAAGCCUGACGGAGCAACGCCGCGUGAGUGAUGAAGGUCUUCGGAUCGUAAAACUCUGUUAUUAGGGAAGAACAAACGUGUAAGUAACCUGUGCACGUCUUGACGGUACCUAAUCAGAAAGCCACGGCUAACUACGUGCCAGCCGCCGCCGUAACACAA
RNAcentral lists this ribosomal RNA (540 nucleotides) under Staphylococcus hominis. RNAcentral's name for it is "bacterial SSU rRNA". It matches the Rfam family "Bacterial small subunit ribosomal RNA", at positions 1 to 528 of the family's 1533-position model. Lineage: Bacteria; Bacillati; Bacillota; Bacilli; Caryophanales; Staphylococcaceae. The record is from RNAcentral.